This 372-nucleotide ribosomal RNA is filed under the name uncultured bacterium. Its description in RNAcentral is "bacterial SSU rRNA". It matches the Rfam family "Bacterial small subunit ribosomal RNA", at positions 525 to 896 of the family's 1533-position model. The record is from RNAcentral.
ACGAAGGGGGCGAGCGUUGUUCGGAUUUACUGGGCGUAAAGGGCGCGUAGGCGGCGAUUUUUGUCAGGCGUGAAAGCCCUGGGCUUAACCUGGGAGGUGCGCUUGGGACGGGAUUGCUAGAGUUCGGGAGAGGAGAGUGGAAUUCCCAGUGUAGAGGUGAAAUUCGUAGAUAUUGGGAAGAACACCGGUGGCGAAGGCGGCUCUCUGGACCGAUACUGACGCUGAGGCGCGAAAGCGUGGGGAGCAGACAGGAUUAGAUACCCUGGUAGUCCACGCUGUAAACGAUGUGUGCUAGACGUUGGGGAGCCUAGCUCUUCGGUGUCGCAGCUAACGCGAUAAGCACACCGCCUGGGGAGUACGGCCGCAAGGUUA